UACAGAGGGGGCAAGCGUUGUUCGGAAUUACUGGGCGUAAAGGGCGCGUAGGCGGCCUUCUAAGUCGAACGUGAAAUCCCCGGGCUCAACCCGGGAACUGCGUCCGAUACUGGAAGGCUUGAAUCCGAGAGAGGGAUGCGGAAUUCCAGGUGUAGCGGUGAAAUGCGUAGAUAUCUGGAGGAACACCGGUGGCGAAGGCGGCAUCCUGGACCGGUACUGACGCUGAAGCGCGAAAGCGUGGGGAGCAAAGCGGG
This 254-nucleotide ribosomal RNA is filed under the name uncultured bacterium. Its description in RNAcentral is "partial 16S ribosomal RNA". It matches the Rfam family "Bacterial small subunit ribosomal RNA", at positions 524 to 777 of the family's 1533-position model. The record is from RNAcentral.